This 301-nucleotide ribosomal RNA is filed under the name uncultured bacterium. RNAcentral's name for it is "partial 16S ribosomal RNA". It matches the Rfam family "Bacterial small subunit ribosomal RNA", at positions 509 to 808 of the family's 1533-position model. The record is from RNAcentral.
CAGUCGCGCGGUAAUACGAAGGGUGCAAGCGUUACUCGGAAUUACUGGGCGUAAAGCGUGCGUAGGUGGUGGUUUAAGUCCGUUGUGAAAGCCCUGGGCUCAACCUGGGAAUUGCAGUGGAUACUGGGUCACUAGAGUGUGGUAGAGGAUAGUGGAAUUUCCGGUGUAGCAGUGAAAUGCGUAGAGAUCGGAAGGAACAUCUGUGGCGAAGGCGACUAUCUGGGCCAACACUGACACUGAGGCACGAAAGCGUGGGGAGCAAACAGGAUUAGAUACCCGAGUAGUCCCUGUCUCUUAUACC